This is a long non-coding RNA of Gallus gallus (chicken), 999 nucleotides long. The record is from Ensembl. NCBI's taxonomy places the organism in Eukaryota, Metazoa, Chordata, Aves, Galliformes, Phasianidae.
GGGAUCCUUCCCUUUGGAGUUUUCUACUGUAAGCUUAGGACAUGGAUCAUCUUUACCUUGCUGAAAUUUGAGUCAGUCCAAGGAGAAGUGAUGGUAAUUCACGUGUCUCUAAGAGGAAUGACCAUCCAGUAGUGCUUCCCCUGUCCUUAACAGGAUUCCAGGAAGUAGAGAAAAACAAGCAGUCAGAGAUGAGAAAUCAUCCCUCGCAUUCCCAAUAAGCCUUGGCCUUUCCAGUGAUGCAGAGGGCAAUUACUGUAAUCUUUACUCUCUAUAAAGUGCAGGAGAGAUGUCAGCAGUCACCCGUGACAAGGAUAAAGCAGGACAGGCAAUGUGGCAACUGAAGAGAAAAAGCUGUAAUGCCAUAGCAAAUGUAUCUACUGCUAUUAUUUGCUCUCAUGAGUGGAAAUUAAAAUUAAAAAAGCACUUGUACAAGCUGUUGUCAUUACAGGUAACAGAACUGAUACCCUCUAGAGUGCAUAAGUGCCGAUGCACAACUAAAGUGUCCCCUAGAUGAACUUCUGUACAAUUGCCUUCUCAUAGAAAAGACAAGAAUUUCUGAAAUUUGCCAUAUACACAGUUGAAAUAUUAACUUGUCAUAUGUAGUGCCACUGACAAGAGUUCAUUGCAGCAUUCAGCCUGAACUGAAGAAGUUACCUGCAAGUUUGGUCAGUAAAUACCUACAUUUGUGUUCCUUAAACCAGAGGCAUGCCCUACCCCUAUUACUCUGAAACUCCACAGCUUAAUCCUCAAUAUUACUGAGAAGCUCAAAGAUAGUAGCUAUAGUUUCAUGGUUCUUUGUUGCUAAAGUGAAGGAAAUUGAGAAGGAUGAUGAUGGUGUAGCUUAAAACAUGGCAGCUAGUUAAAAAAAAAAAAUACCAAUAAUGAAAUGGAGCUUUUGUUACUAACGCAUUUCAGUAGCAUGAAAAAAGUGUUAUGUUGAUGAUGAGGAGAAUUUGCUACGUAUUAUAGUCUUAACUAAUAAAAUGCUACUAUAAUGCU